CAGCCGCCGCGGGAAAACGGAGGGUGCAAGCGUUGUUCGGAAUCACUGGGCGUAAAGCGCACGUAGGCGGCUAUUCAAGUCAGGGGUGAAAGCCCGGGGCUCAACCCCGGAACUGCCUUUGAAACUAGGUAGCUUGAAUCUUGGAGAGGCGAGUGGAAUUCCGAGUGUAGAGGCGAAAUUCGUAGAUAUGCGGAGGAACACCGAUGGCGAAGGCAAUCCCCUGGACCUGUACUGACGCUCAUGCACGAAAGCGUGGGGAGCAAACAGGAUUAGAGACCCCUGUAGUCCCUGUCUCUUAUAC
This 301-nucleotide ribosomal RNA is filed under the name uncultured bacterium. RNAcentral's name for it is "partial 16S ribosomal RNA". It matches the Rfam family "Bacterial small subunit ribosomal RNA", at positions 509 to 807 of the family's 1533-position model. The record is from RNAcentral.